UCUCCUCAAUUUGUAUAUUUCGCAAGGCCCCUUCAUUGAACAAUACCCACAAACCCUUCAUUUUCUCUCCAUCUUGCUUUCAUCUUCUUUCUCCUUCGUAUUUUCCCAUAACUUUCUAAAUCGAUUUACUAGUACACACACCACAUAACUCAUCUCCUUCCACCUUUUCAAUUCAUUCUUUUCACUUGUUUUGUUGCUCAAUCUUUCAUCUCGACUUCUAAAAGGAUUUUCUGUAUUCAAUUACCCGUAUGAGGCUUAGUUGAUUUGAUAUGUGUAGUUCUUUGUUGGGAAACUUUACCGGUUUUGUGUGUUUCUUUUUAAUUGAAUUUAUUUGUUUUGAAGUUUCAUCUCCAUUCUCUAGCUGCUGGAAGGUGAAUUGAAUAAGUGAAAAUAUGGGCUCGUCGUGUGCAUAGGUCGUUCAGGUAAUACAGGUAAAAUGUUUAGGCUUUUCGAUCACUGUAUUUUAUUGUACAUGUACUUAUUGCAAUCAACACAUUGAUUCAUUAACAAACAUCUCCUUCUUCGUCGUUUGCCAUCGUCUGAAAUUAGGUAUCUUCUCAUAUUAUUCUUCUUCUCGAUUUUCAACACUAUUUGUAUCUAAUUCACUUCUUAUUUUUCUCUCAUUUUUGUCCAUUUCAUAUCUCGUUCUCUGUUUUUCUCUAAUUUUCAGGACUUUUAAAUCCAUCAAGUAUCAGAUCCAAGGAGCCCCACGGUAUAUGUUUUUAUAUUUUUAUUUUUUUCUCAUCUCUUGUUCUUGUAUUGUUGUCCCUGUCUUUCGUGAUUCAACUGUUGAGUUUACUUCUCCAUUCAUUCUUUGUUUCUCAUCAAUUGCAUACUUGGUCAUCUUUCUAUUUGUUCAUAUGGAAGUUCCAGUGUUCUUUCUUUUGUUUCCAAACAAAGUAAAAUUUUUAACGUAUUUAUUUAACCAUUUGAUUUGUAGCUAACUAGUUAGUUUCAAAUAGUUAUUUGCAACUAUCCUGAUUUGAUUUCUAUUUAUAUUAUGCAUAAAUUGGAUUCUUUUGUCACAUUGAUUGAAUAAAUAUUUGUUUAGUGUUAAGAUCAUCCUUGUCUCUUUGAAUUGCUUCCAUAACUUGAUUGGUCUGCUAGAAGUUGAAAAUAAACUCAACAAUUUUCACUUUUUCUUUAGUACUUGUUUUAGUUUUAUCACUAUAAAAAAAAAAAAAAAAAAAAAAAAAAAAAAAAAAAAUUCUAUUUUGGACUCUAUAAACUUGUACUUUAAUGCUUAAAAUUCAAAACAUUUUGGUUUAGUCCCAAUUAGUCAAGCGACUCAACAUUCAAGUUUUACUAUUGAUUUAUGGCGACUGUUAUGGGCAUAGUCACAGUGAUUCGCGAUAUUCGAACAGAAACUCUCUCCUCAAACAUCAUUGAUCUAAAUAUCCACAAUAUGUAGAGUUUAUAUUUGUGUUUCCCUUUAUUCGAAGAAGAUCUCCCUAUUAAAUUUUUCCCCUUUUUGGUUGCAAAGCUCGAUUAGGUCCGUAAUGCUUCUCUGAUUUAGCUUCAUUCCUAGUAAUUUAUUUUCCUAGACCUUAUCCUACUGAAAUUUGUCCUUUUUGUGUUGUAUGUUGCAUCUAGUGUGUUCAUUUUGCCCAUUUGAUUAGCUUUGAAAAAAUUUAUCACGGUAGACAUUCUAUUUUUAUUGAUGUUGCUGGUGCUUUAUAUGUUAUUUUAUUUUUUUAAUUUGUUUUCGAAGAAUUGCAGCUCUUGAAAUCUACAUAGAUGCAGCAAAGGUUAUGUCACGGAGAUUAUAUACUCCCUAUGAGUUUGUGCAAAUGCUUUUUAUAUCAUCUUAUUUAUUGAUAAAUUGCUAAGUUGUUUUAGUUUCUUACUUCUAAGUAUUCUAGUGUUUAUGACAUUAUGGAUUUCUCUUGAUUGUGUAUUGCAUAGCUUGGCUAAGGAAGUUGCAUAAAUCUAUGAAAUUCACUCAUGGCCGUGGAAAGUAGACCAGAUGAGCCAUUACUCAAUCAACUAUUAUCAAAGCGAUUCGGUCAACGAUGAAGCUCUGGUGGUUACAACACUUAACAGGAAAAGGUCAACAAUGGUUCAAUUGCCAGUUGCACUAUUCUACUUCUUGAUUUCGAGUCUUUCUGUAACUCGAACCUGAGAAGGUCCAUGCAUCUUCCAAGCUUGUUUAAUGGAACAAUUUUGGUUAGCAUAUCAGCUGCAUUAUCAGAGGUCGUUAAACUAUGAAUGACAUUCAAUCAAUACAUAAAUCUUGGACAUGAAGGCUUUUAAACACAUUUUCCAUAAAACAUUCAAUGAUAGAACAUGGUCAGCAAGGACGCAGGAUCCGUGAAUAGCCAUAAGGGAUACAAAACCAAGACUUACAUGUCAAAGAGAAUAGUAGGGAAGAUCAAGUGGUGGUCUACAAGAUUUUGGAGUCAAGAAUCAAGCUAAAUUCGAAGUUGAAAAAGGAGGUCUUCAAAGAGUCUAUAAAUUUUUUAGAGUUAAAAGAGUUGCAAUUAGGUUGCAAUUGAAGAAAGAAUCAAGAAAGGUCAGCUGAAGAAAACCUGCUGUGAAACUACUGCCAGACAGUAUUGCAAUGCUACCCACAGAGUGUUGCAACGCUGGGAUGAAGCGUUGCAGCGCUAUUCAUCCCAGCCAAGAAGACACACGAGCAACUCGACCGACGGUUCAAGAGAAAUGGUUCGGCCAGUUCAGGUCUUGGAGGUCCGGUUUAGCUCGUUUUUGGCCAGUUCAACCCUUUUUCAAGCCUUGGAGGUUCGAUUCGAGCAGUUCAGAUCUGGUUUAGGUUGGUUCAUGAAUUCCAGAAACUAUUGAAAGCCGCCAAAACUGGUCCAUAUCAGUGUGUGUUUAAUUAUUGAUGCAUUAUGAAUGUAUGUUAUAAUUAAAUAAAUCUUGUAUGUCCAUGUUAUGCCAUGCAGACUUAAAAUCCCAUCAUAAGAAGCAUGUAACUUUUGGGGUUGGUGCCCUAAAUCUCGUAGAGUCCUAUAGUUUUUAAUUGUAUUAUACAAACAUUUUAUUUAUCUAAUAAAAUAUGUGAUGUUUUAUUUGACA
This is an RNA transcript of Benincasa hispida (wax gourd), 3036 nucleotides long. RefSeq lists it as uncharacterized. Lineage: Eukaryota; Viridiplantae; Streptophyta; Magnoliopsida; Cucurbitales; Cucurbitaceae. The record is from RefSeq and is a predicted model, not a curated record.